UACGUAGGGGCCCAGCGUUGUCCGGAAUCAUUGGGCGUAAAGCGCGCGUAGGCGGCCAGCCAAGUCCGGUGUGAAAGUCACAGGCUCAACCUGUGAAUGCCGCUGGAAACUGUCUGGCUAGAGUCCGGAAGGGGCGAGUGGAAUUCCUGGUGUAGCGGUGAAAUGCGCAGAUAUCAGGAGGAACACCUAGGGCGAAGGCAGCUCGCUGGGACGGUACUGACGCUGAGGCGCGAAAGCGUGGGGAGCGAACAGG
This 253-nucleotide ribosomal RNA is filed under the name uncultured bacterium. RNAcentral's name for it is "partial 16S ribosomal RNA". It matches the Rfam family "Bacterial small subunit ribosomal RNA", at positions 524 to 776 of the family's 1533-position model. The record is from RNAcentral.